CACGUAGGGCGCAAGCGUUGUCCGGAAUUAUUGGGCGUAAAGAGCUCGUAGGCGGUCUGUUGCGUCCGCUGUGAAAACCCGGGGCUUAACCCUGGGCUGGCAGUGGAUACGGGCAGACUAGAGGCAGGUAGGGGAGAAUGGAAUUCCCGGUGUAGCGGUGAAAUGCGCAGAUAUCGGGAGGAACACCGGUGGCGAAGGCGGUUCUCUGGGCCUGACCUGACGCUGAGGAGCGAAAGCGUGGGGAGCGAACAGG
RNAcentral lists this ribosomal RNA (253 nucleotides) under uncultured bacterium. RNAcentral's name for it is "partial 16S ribosomal RNA". It matches the Rfam family "Bacterial small subunit ribosomal RNA", at positions 524 to 776 of the family's 1533-position model. The record is from RNAcentral.